UGACAUCAGAGCGUUGCCCUGGAGAAGCAGAAGGCUGAAGGAGACUUUAGGUUCUGGGCGUAGUAAGCUGGGAUGCCUGUCAGCCAUUCAAAGAGGCAGUUAUGGCUCACACCUGUAACCCCUACGCCUGGGGAGGCUGAGGCAAGCGGAUCACCUGAGGUCAGGAGUUGGAGACCAGACUGGCCAAUGUGGCAAAACCCCAUCUCUAAUAAAAAUUUAAAAAUUAGCUGGGCAUAGUGGUUACACACCUGUAGUCCCAGCUACUCGGGAGGCCGAGGCAGGAGAAUUGCUUGAACCUGGGAGAUGGAGGUUACAGUGAGCCAGGAGAUUACGCCACUGCACUCCAGCCUGGGUGACAGAGUGAGACUCCAUCUCCAAAAAAAAACAAAAACAAAAACAAAAGCAAAAAAAGAAGUACAGUCCACAACACAAACAAGAAAUGAAGUUUUCUGUGUUUUAAACACACUCUUUAUAUGAACACCACCCUUUAUUUAAGCUAGAUGGGGCUGAGAAAUAGGGUAUUUGAAGCCUCAGAUUGACCCAUGUGCCUGAAAAAGUUCAGAGGUGGUGCUUGAU
RNAcentral lists this long non-coding RNA (576 nucleotides) under Pan troglodytes (chimpanzee). RNAcentral describes it as "long non-coding RNA NONPTRT011573". The record is from RNAcentral. Lineage: Eukaryota; Metazoa; Chordata; Mammalia; Primates; Hominidae.